RNAcentral lists this ribosomal RNA (745 nucleotides) under uncultured bacterium. RNAcentral's name for it is "bacterial SSU rRNA". It matches the Rfam family "Bacterial small subunit ribosomal RNA", at positions 33 to 773 of the family's 1533-position model. The record is from RNAcentral.
ACGCUGGCGGCAGGCCUAACACAUGCAAGUCGAGCGGUAGAGAGAAGCUUGCUUCUCUUGAGAGCGGCGGACGGGUGAGUAAUGCCUAGGAAUCUGCCUGGUAGUGGGGGAUAACGUUCGGAAACGGACGCUAAUACCGCAUACGUCCUACGGGAGAAAGCAGGGGACCUUCGGGCCUUGCGCUAUCAGAUGAGCCUAGGUCGGAUUAGCUAGUUGGUGAGGUAAUGGCUCACCAAGGCGACGAUCCGUAACUGGUCUGAGAGGAUGAUCAGUCACACUGGAACUGAGACACGGUCCAGACUCCUACGGGAGGCAGCAGUGGGGAAUAUUGGACAAUGGGCGAAAGCCUGAUCCAGCCAUGCCGCGUGUGUGAAGAAGGUCUUCGGAUUGUAAAGCACUUUAAGUUGGGAGGAAGGGUUGUAGAUUAGUACUCUGCAAUUUUGACGUUACCGACAGAAUAAGCACCGGCUAACUCUGUGCCAGCAGCCGCGGUAAUACAGAGGGUGCAAGCGUUAAUCGGAAUUACUGGGCGUAAAGCGCGCGUAGGUGGUUUGUUAAGUUGGAUGUGAAAUCCCCGGGCUCAACCUGGGAACUGCAUUCAAAACUGACUGACUAGAGUAUGGUAGAGGGUGGUGGAAUUUCCUGUGUAGCGGUGAAAUGCGUAGAUAUAGGAAGGAACACCAGUGGCGAAGGCGACCACCUGGACUAAUACUGACACUGAGGUGCGAAAGCGUGGGGAGCAAAC